GAGAUGCUGUAACCCAGGCUGGAGUGCAGUGGUGCAAUCUUGGCUCACUGCAACCCCCACCUCCCAGGGUUCAUGUGAUUCUCCUGCCUCAGUCUCCCACAUAGCUGAGAUUACAGGUAUGCGCCACCACGCCUGGCUGUAUUUUUAGUAGAGAGGGGGUUUUGCCAUGUUGGCCAGGCUGGUCUUGAACUCCUGACCUCAAGUGAUCUGCCUGCCUCAGCCUCCCAAAGUGCUGGGAUUACAGGGGUGAGCCACUGUGCCUGGCCAGAAUUCAUUACUUUUUUAUUGUGGUAAAAUGUACAUAAUAUUUAUCAUCUUAGCCAUUCAUAAGUACACAAGUACACCAUGAAUACAUUUAAUGCUGUGGUACUAAAUUCAUUCACGAUGUUGUGGAAACAUGACCAUAGUCUGUACCCAAAACUUCGCCCGUCAUCCCUAACAAAAACUCUACCCAUCAACCAAUAACUCGCCCUUCCUCCCUUCCCCUCAUUUGCUGCCUCUAGCUAUCUUUCAUUAAGUUUUUAUUGUGAAAAUUUGCACAACACGGAAGUUAUCACUGUAGCCAUUUUUAAGUGUACAGGUCAGUGGCAUCAAGUACAUUUAUAUCGUUUGUAACCAUCACCACCCUUCAUCUCAGAACUUUUUCAUCUUCCCAGAUUGAAACUCUGUACACUUUCAACCCUAACGGCCCGUUCUGGCCUCUCCCAGACCCUGCAAGCGGGGGUUAUAUGAGGUGAACAUGGGCAGAAAGACUCCUUCGUGUCUCUGUGAAUUUGCCUGUUCUAGGUAGCUCAUCUAAGUGGGAUCAUGCAAUAUUUGUCCUUUUGUGUCUGACCUGUUUCACUCAGCAUGUCUUCGAGGUUCAUUUUUGUGUGGCAUGUGUCGGAACUUCAACCGUCUUUGGAGACGGAAUGGCAUUUGUAUGUCUACACCGUAAUUCACAAGUCCAUUCAUCUGUAGCUGGACACUUGGGUUGUUCCACCUUCUGGCUGUUGUGAAUGAGGCUGCUAUGGACAGGGGUGUAAGUAUCUCUCUGAGACCCUGCUUUCAAUAAUUUUGCAUAUGUGCCCAGAAGUGGGAUUGCUGGACCACAGGGUAAUUCUAUGUUUGAUUUUUUUUUUUUUUUUUUGAGACAGAGUUUCGCUCUUGGUGCCCAGGCUGGACCGGCUCUUUGCAGUGUGAAAGCUUCUCUGGCUGGUCUGCCACGCUGGGUCCUGUCCCAAGCCCCGUCCUCACUGCGGAGUCGUGUCUUCAUUCUGAUUCCUGCCCUGGGUGUGUUGCCCUCACAAGCAAGGCUUUCCUGUGUGUGUCUUGUGGGAGGCUGACAUGGUCCCUGCCCCUGCUGGAGCAGCAUCUGUGUUUGGAGGAGGAAGGGUGCCUCUGGGUGGGGGGUAAGGAACAGGUGUCCUUCGUCGGGGGGACCCACUGGGACUUCGCUGUCUUGUUAGUCUAGCAAGUGGGCAGUUCUGGCCAGUUCUCCGUCUUGCAGGGGUUGGCCCUCCCUCCCGCCUUGCUCUAGGCCCUUUAGGCGUGAAGGAGGCUCCAUUUGCUAAGGAAACAGUAUGAGGAGAGCAGAAACAGGAACAGCUUAGAGGUCUUGCCAGCUCCUGCGCCACCCUGCUCUGGCCACGGGGUGGGUGGCUGUGUCGGGGCUGUGCCUCGCUCUGCCUGUCCUGGCUGGACGUGUGGGCUCACCCCCACCCUGCCGUCUUCCUCCACUCAAUUCCUUCUGGAUUAGCUCCGUGUAGCAUUACCCCAAAAACUCCGUCCAAGUUGGCAAGAAUCGCACAUUGGGCUGUUUGGCUUUUAAUAAAGUUUAUGAUUUAAGUCUUGUGCUCUUAACACCUUCUUUGCAAGCCUCAGAGGGAAACAACAAUGUUGAAGUUGUUUACUCAUUUCCUUCAUCACAUGGAGACCCUCACGCUUGGCCAGGGCCCGUGUGUGCGUUAACACAGAGUCAGGUUGUGUGGCUGUACACACACACACACACACACACACAUGUGCACUCAGAGGAGAGGAGGAAUCUUUGGGAAGACUGGCUGUAUUUCAGUACCUGGCAAAUUUCCAGAACAUCAAAUGAGCCCUUAAGCAGGAAGACUCCUCUGCAGAACUAACACCUGCAGUAGAUUCUGAGCGUUUGCUUCCUCACCAAAGUCAGUACUGUUUCCCUGGAAACACUGCCCAGCAAGUUUCCAAGCAGGAGCCAGCCGGCCAAGGCCGACUGAACGCAACCCUGGGUGCCGGGCCCUGCUGUGUGCACGUCAGGCCUCACGCGGUCCCCUAGUCCCCCACCCACCUGCUUUCAUGUUCAAGGCCAAAGUUCCCACAAUUCCAGGCCCUACUUUGCCCUGAAAUGGAGAGCUGGUUCUUUGCCAUUCCGCAGGACAAGCAUCCGGUCCCCCACUGCCCCGUAGGCCCCACAAAGGCUGU
RNAcentral lists this long non-coding RNA (2430 nucleotides) under Pongo abelii (Sumatran orangutan). RNAcentral describes it as "lincRNA". Lineage: Eukaryota; Metazoa; Chordata; Mammalia; Primates; Hominidae. The record is from RNAcentral.